This 494-nucleotide ribosomal RNA is filed under the name uncultured bacterium. Its description in RNAcentral is "partial 16S ribosomal RNA". It matches the Rfam family "Bacterial small subunit ribosomal RNA", at positions 28 to 507 of the family's 1533-position model. The record is from RNAcentral.
GACGAACGCUGGCGGCGCGCUUAACACAUGCAAGUCGAACGGGAAGGCCUGCUUUCCCUUGUGGAUUGCGGGUACUCGAGUGGCGAACGGGUGAGUAACACGUGAGUGAUCUGCCCCCAACUUGGGUAUAAGCCUGGGAAACUGGGUCUAAUUCCCGAUAGGACUGCAGGGUGGUGCCUGUGGUGGAAAACGAUUUUCUAGUGGUUGGGGAUGAGCUCGCGGCCUAUCAGCUUGUUGGUGGGGUAAUGGCCUACCAAGGCGGCGACGGGUAGCCGGCCUGAGAGGGUGGACGGCCACAUUGGGACUGAGAUACGGCCCAGACUCCUACGGGAGGCAGCAGUGGGGAAUAUUGCACAAGGGGCGGAAGCCUGAUGCAGCGACGCCGCGUGGGGGAUGACGGCCUUCGGGUUGUAAACUCCUUUCGACCGCGAGGAAGCCACCUGGUUGGAAGGGUGGUGACGGUAGUGGUAGAAGAAGCACCGGCUAACUACGUG